Molecule: ribosomal RNA, 255 nt
Filed under: uncultured bacterium
Lineage: Bacteria
Description: partial 16S ribosomal RNA
Rfam family: Bacterial small subunit ribosomal RNA
Source: RNAcentral
UACGUAGGGACCGAGCGUUGUCCGGAAUCAUUGGGCGUAAAGAGCGUGUAGGCGGCCACUUAAGUCCUGCGUGAAAUCUUGCGGCUCAACCGCAAGCGGUCGUGGGAAACUGGGUGGCUAGAGUGCGGGAGAGGAGAGUGGAAUUCCUGGUGUAGCGGUGGAAUGCGCAGAUAUCAGGAAGAACACCCGUGGCGAAGGCGGCUCUCUGGAACGCAACUGACGCUGAGACGCGAAAAGCGUGGGGGAGCGAACAGG